This 254-nucleotide ribosomal RNA is filed under the name uncultured bacterium. Its description in RNAcentral is "partial 16S ribosomal RNA". It matches the Rfam family "Bacterial small subunit ribosomal RNA", at positions 57 to 305 of the family's 1533-position model. The record is from RNAcentral.
GCAAGUCGAACGGUAACAUUAUUAGAAGCUUGCUUCUAAUAGAUGACGAGUGGCGGACGGGUGAGUAACGCGUAGGAAUCUGCCCUAAAGCGGGGGAUAACCUAGGGAAACUUAGGCUAAUACCGCAUAAUCUCUACGGAGCAAAGGCUAUAGUUUACUAUAGUCACUUUAGGAUGAGCCUGCGUUGGAUUAGUUUGUUGUUAGGGUAAAAGCCUAACAAGACUAAGAUCCAUAGCUGUUCUGAGAGGAAGAUC